RNAcentral lists this ribosomal RNA (468 nucleotides) under uncultured bacterium. Its description in RNAcentral is "partial 16S ribosomal RNA". It matches the Rfam family "Bacterial small subunit ribosomal RNA", at positions 28 to 507 of the family's 1533-position model. The record is from RNAcentral.
GACGAACGCUGGCGGCGUGCUUAACACAUGCAAGUCGAACGGAAAGGCCCUGCUUUUGUGGGGUGCUCGAGUAGCGAACGGGUGAGUAACACGUGAGUAACCUGCCCUUGACUUUGGGAUAACUUCAGGAAACUGGGGCUAAUACCGGAUAGGAGCUCCUGCUGCAUGGUGGGGAUUGGAAAGUUUCGGCGGUUGGGGAUGUACUCUCGGCUUAUCAGCUUGUUGGUGGGGUAGUGGCUUACCAAGGCUUUGACGGGUAGCCGGCCUGAGAGGGUGACCGGCCACAUUGGGACUGAGAUACGGCCCAGACUCCUACGGGAGGCAGCAGUGGGGAAUAUUGCACAAUGGGCGGAAGCCUGAUGCAGCAACGCCGCGUGCGGGAUGACGGCCUUCGGGUUGUAAACCGCUUUCGCCUGUGACGAAGCGUGAGUGACGGUAAUGGGUAAAGAAGCACCGGCUAACUACGUG